CUGUGUCACGGGUGUCUGGGUAUUGGGCCCGAAGCUGCUCUGCCCUGCUGCACAGCCUGGUGUAGGUAUCAUAGGACGAGUCCUGGGGCCUGGGGAGUUGUAAUGCAGGGUGUAGCUGGACUCUAGAUGGCAUUUGUCGAUUGACACAAGAUGUCUGGAAGGCCUAAGUUAUCCUGCAGCCCUCUGACCCCUGUCCUCCCAUUCUUUCAGGUGCUGGCAGAUGAAAUCCGUGGCGGAGCGCCCCGUGGCGGGUGAGUGGUUCCCCUGAGCAGGACAUAAAGCCGAACCUGAGGAGUCAAGGCGGUCCACGGGUAUCACGCCGAGACCCCGUCAGCGAGUGGCCGACAGACCCGGUUCGUCGCUCUCGUGGGAACUCGCUAAGCGGUACGGGGCUCUGUGAUGGUGCCGUG
Molecule: long non-coding RNA, 410 nt
Organism: Haemorhous mexicanus (house finch)
Lineage: Eukaryota; Metazoa; Chordata; Aves; Passeriformes; Fringillidae
Exons: 3
Source: RefSeq, a predicted model, not a curated record